This 378-nucleotide unclassified non-coding RNA is filed under the name plant metagenome. RNAcentral's name for it is "partial contains 5.8S ribosomal RNA, internal transcribed spacer 2, and large subunit ribosomal RNA". The stretch from base 1 to 107 matches the Rfam family "5.8S ribosomal RNA", at positions 50 to 154 of the family's 154-position model. The record is from RNAcentral.
GAAAUGCGAUACUUGGUGUGAAUUGCAGAAUCCCGUGAACCAUCGAGUCUUUGAACGCAAGUUGCGCCCCAAGCCUUCGGGCCGAGGGCACGUCUGCCUGGGUGUCACGCAUCGUUGCUCCCCCCCCGAACCCCGAACCUCGGGAACGUGGCCGGCGGGGGCGAAAAUUGGCCUCCCGUGCGUCGCAGGGCACGCGGUUGGCCCAAAUUCGAGUCCUCGGCCGCGCGAGCCGCGACUUUCGGUGGUCGUAACGAACCUCGAUGUCCCGUCGCGCUCGUGCCGCCUCACGUGCGGACUCCGCGACCCUCAACGCGUCGUCGAUCGCCGGCGCUCGCAUCGCGACCCCAGGUCAGGCGGGAUUACCCGCUGAGUUUAAGC